UUUUUGUAUUUAAUAUAAAGUCUAAUCUGCCCCCUGAUAAUUUAUUAAAGGGCUGCAGUAUUUUGACUGUACAAAGGUAGCAUAAUCAUUUGUCUCUUAAUUGGUGACUAGUAUGAAAGAUUGGAUGAAAUAUAGACUGUCUCAUUAUAAUGAAUAAAAUUUAAUUUUUUAGUAAAAAAGCUAAAAUAGUUUUAAAAGACGAGAAGACCCUAUAGAGUUUAAUAAUUAUUUUUAUAUAGAAUAAAAUAUAAAAAUUUAAAUUUAAAUGAAAGUAAUUAUUUUGUUGGGGUGAUAGAAAAAUUAAAUUAACUUUUUUUAAAGAUAUACAUUAAUAAAUGAAUAAAUGAUCCAUUAAUAAUGAUUAUAAGAAAAAAUUACCUUAGGGAUAACAGCGUAAUUUUUUUUUUUAGGCCAAAUAAGAAAAAGAGUUUGCGACCUCGAUGUUGGAUUAAGAUAAAAUUUAAAUGUAAAAGUUUAAAGUUUUGAUCUGUUCGAUCAUUAAAA
Molecule: ribosomal RNA, 504 nt
Filed under: Troides helena antileuca
Lineage: Eukaryota; Metazoa; Arthropoda; Insecta; Lepidoptera; Papilionidae
Description: partial 16S ribosomal RNA
Source: RNAcentral